RNAcentral lists this ribosomal RNA (1017 nucleotides) under uncultured bacterium. RNAcentral describes it as "bacterial SSU rRNA". It matches the Rfam family "Bacterial small subunit ribosomal RNA", at positions 355 to 1375 of the family's 1533-position model. The record is from RNAcentral.
UGAGGAAUAUUGGUCAAUGGGCGCAGGCCUGAACCAGCCAAGUAGCGUGAAGGAUGACUGCCCUAUGGGUUGUAAACUUCUUUUAUAAAGGAAUAAAGUCGGGUAUGUAUACCCGUUUGCAUGUACUUUAUGAAUAAGGAUCGGCUAACUCCGUGCCAGCAGCCGCGGUAAUACGGAGGAUCCGAACGUUAUCCGGAUUUAUUGGGUUUAAAGGGAGCGUAGAUGGAUGUUCAAGUCAGUUGUGAAAGUUUGCGGCUCAACCGUAAAAUUGCAGUUGAUACUGGAUAUCUUGAGUGCAGUUGAGGCAGGCGGAAUUCGUGGUGUAGCGGUGAAAUGCUUAGAUAUCACGAAGAACUCCGAUUGCGAAGGCAGCCUGCUAAACCGCCACUGACGUUGAGGCUCGAAAGUGUGGGUAUCAAACAGGAUUAGAUACCCUGGUAGUCCACACGGUAAACGAUGGAUACUCGCUGUUGGCGAUAGACUGUCAGCGGCUUAGCGAAAGCGUUAAGUAUCCCACCUGGGGAGUACGCCGGCAACGGUGAAACUCAAAGGAAUUGACGGGGGCCCGCACAAGCGGAGGAACAUGUGGUUUAAUUCGAUGAUACGCGAGGAACCUUACCCGGGCUUGAAUUGCAGACGAAUUGCUUGGAAACAGGCAAGCCGCAAGGCGUCUGUGAAGGUGCUGCAUGGUUGUCGUCAGCUCGUGCCGUGAGGUGUCGGCUUAAGUGCCAUAACGAGCGCAACCCUCGUGUCCAGUUACUAGCAGGUUAUGCUGAGGACUCUGGACAGACUGCCAUCGUAAGAUGUGAGGAAGGUGGGGAUGACGUCAAAUCAGCACGGCCCUUACGUCCGGGGCUACACACGUGUUACAAUGGGGGGUACAGCAGGCAGCUACCGGGCGACCGGAUGCCAAUCCCGAAAGCCUCUCUCAGUUCGGACUGGAGUCUGCAACCCGACUCCACGAAGCUGGAUUCGCUAGUAAUCGCGCAUCAGCCACGGCGCGGUGAAUACGUUCCC